CCCACACAGAACCAAAUCAGCCAAGCGGCGGCCAGCAAGUCAUUACUCCUCAAACUUCCCGAUAAAAAUCCCUUCCCUCUUCAGUCAUGUUGAAGCAUGGCAUCUGCUAACGUACACAACCCUGCUGCUAAAUCAGAAAUACGCAGGAGCCAGCAAAGGAGUUUGAGGUGUAGAAGUUGACGUCUGAAGAGCAACUCAUCUGACCACCUGCACCUCAGACAGGAACAGGGCUGAGGAAACGAUGAGCUGCAAAGGAUGUUGGGGCUUCAACUCGACAACAAGAGGAAAUGCUUGACGUUUGCAGUCAGAGCGUAUGCUGUCUCGGCCUUCCUAAGACUGACCUUGAUAGAUUUCAGACAAAACAGGGCCUCAAAAGUAUUUAUAUCCCUUACACUUUCCAAUAUUUUAUGAUGUUACGACCAUAAGCUUAAAUGUGUUUUAUUCGGAUCUUAUAUAAUGGUCUAACACACAAUAGUGCAUAAUUGUGAAGAGGAAUAAAAAAUUUUUAAGCCUACUUAAAAAAAAUAAUUUUUUUUAUUGCAUUAGCAAUCAGCCCUUUUGAGUCAAUAGUAGAUACUAGUGGUUUGUUUGUAUAAGCUUUGCAUGCCAAUAAACUAUCCAAUCUUUUCCCAUUUUUCCAUAUGGAGAUGGAUAUGUUUCAAAAUAUCCGUGCUUAUAUUUUGGAUGUGAAGAGCUGUGCAUCACGAUACGAGAGGUUGCAGAGCAAAACAUCUCAACUUGCACGGCUAAAUAUUUACUGGCAACAUCGUCACAUGGGCGUAAAAUCAAUUUGAGCUUGUGAGUGAAAUUGUCACGUGCGAAAACAAAUUCCACACAAACAGGCUCUGCAUGUGAACUUCUAGAAAAUAAAUUGCAAAUGAGAUUUGUCUUUACUUGUAUCAGUGUUUCCACUAUGACAACAGGUCAGUAAACACAACUUCUUGA
This is a long non-coding RNA of Xiphophorus couchianus (Monterrey platyfish), 945 nucleotides long. RefSeq lists it as uncharacterized. The record is from RefSeq and is a predicted model, not a curated record. The transcript has 2 exons. Lineage: Eukaryota; Metazoa; Chordata; Actinopteri; Cyprinodontiformes; Poeciliidae.